RNAcentral lists this ribosomal RNA (216 nucleotides) under Glomeromycotina sp. RNAcentral's name for it is "partial small subunit ribosomal RNA". The stretch from base 44 to 216 matches the Rfam family "Eukaryotic small subunit ribosomal RNA", at positions 690 to 864 of the family's 1831-position model. The record is from RNAcentral. Lineage: Eukaryota; Fungi; Glomeromycota.
GGGUCAGUAGGUUGGUCGUGCCACCGGUACGUACUGGUCUCGCUGAUUCCUCCUUCCUGAAGAACCGUAAUGCCAUUAAUUUGGUGUUGCGGGGAAACAGGACUGUUACCUUGAAAAAAUUAGAGUGUUUAAAGCAAGCUAACGCUUGAAUACAUUAGCAUGGAAUAAUGAAAUAGGACGAUCGAUCCUAUUUUGUUGGUUUCUAGGAUUGACGUA